CGUGUAGGCGGUUUGUUAAGUCUGAUGUGAAAGCCCUGGGCUCAACCCGGGAAGUGCAUUGGAAACUGGCAAACUUGAGUACGGGAGAGGAAAGUGGAAUUUCGAGUGUAGGGGUGAAAUCCGUAAGAUAUUCGAAGGAACACCAGUGGCGAAGGCGGCUUUCUGGACCGAUACUGACGCUGAGACGCGAAAGCGUGGGGAGCAAACA
RNAcentral lists this ribosomal RNA (208 nucleotides) under uncultured bacterium. RNAcentral's name for it is "partial 16S ribosomal RNA". It matches the Rfam family "Bacterial small subunit ribosomal RNA", at positions 568 to 774 of the family's 1533-position model. The record is from RNAcentral.